Molecule: ribosomal RNA, 466 nt
Filed under: uncultured bacterium
Lineage: Bacteria
Description: partial 16S ribosomal RNA
Rfam family: Bacterial small subunit ribosomal RNA
Source: RNAcentral
GACGAACGCUGGCGGCGUGCUUAACACAUGCAAGUCGAACGGAAAGGCCCUGCUUGCAGGGUACUCGCGUGGCGAACGGGUGAGUAACACGUGGGUGAUCUGCCCUGCACUUCGGGAUAAGCUUGGGGAACUGGGUCUAAUACCGGAUAGGAGCCAUCUUUAGUGUGGUGGUUGGAAAGUUUUUUGGGGGUAGGAUGAGCUCGCGGCCUUUAAGCUUGUUGGUGGGGUAAUGGCGUACAAAGGCGGCGAGGGGUAGCCGGCCUGAGAGGGUGUGCGGCCACACAGGGGGAGGGAGACGCGCCACAGACUUACGGGGGGGGGAGGAGGGGGAAAUAGCACAAUGGGGGCGGGCGUGAUGCGGAGACGCGGCGUGGGGGGGAAAGGCGUUUGGGUUGUAAACACCUUUCGCGAGGGAGGAGGCUUUUUUGUGACGGUACUUGGAAAAGAAGCACCGGCUAACUACGUG